Molecule: non-coding RNA, 71 nt
Organism: Phrynosoma platyrhinos (Desert horned lizard)
Lineage: Eukaryota; Metazoa; Chordata; Lepidosauria; Squamata; Phrynosomatidae
Source: the annotation of a GenBank genome assembly
GCCAGCGUGAUGUAGUGGUUUGAGCAUUGGACUAUGACUCUGGAGACCAGGGUUCGAAUCCUGGCUUGGCC